Molecule: ribosomal RNA, 1458 nt
Filed under: uncultured organism
Description: SSU rRNA
Rfam family: Bacterial small subunit ribosomal RNA
Source: RNAcentral
CGGCGUGCCUAAUACAUGCAAGUAGAACGCUGAAGAGAGGAGCUUGCUCUUCUUGGAUGAGUUGCGAACGGGUGAGUAACGCGUAGGUAACCUGCCUUGUAGCGGGGGAUAACUAUUGGAAACGAUAGCUAAUACCGCAUAACAAUGGAUGACACAUGUCAUUUAUUUGAAAGGGGCAAAUGCUCCACUACAAGAUGGACCUGCGUUGUGUUAGCUAGUAGGUGAGGUAACGGCUCACCUAGGCGACGAUACAUAGCCGACCUGAGAGGGUGAUCGGCCACACUGGGACUGAGACACGGCCCAGACUCCUACGGGAGGCAGCAGUAGGGAAUCUUCGGCAAUGGGGGCAACCCUGACCGAGCAACGCCGCGUGAGUGAAGAAGGUUUUCGGAUCGUAAAGCUCUGUUGUAAGUCAAGAACGAGUGUGAGAGUGGAAAGUUCACACUGUGACGGUAGCUUACCAGAAAGGGACGGCUAACUACGUGCCAGCAGCCGCGGUAAUACGUAGGUCCCGAGCGUUGUCCGGAUUUAUUGGGCGUAAAGCGAGCGCAGGCGGUUUGAUAAGUCUGAAGUUAAAGGCUGUGGCUCAACCAUAGUUCGCUUUGGAAACUGUCAAACUUGAGUGCAGAAGGGGAGAGUGGAAUUCCAUGUGUAGCGGUGAAAUGCGUAGAUAUAUGGAGGAACACCGGUGGCGAAAGCGGCUCUCUGGUCUGUAACUGACGCUGAGGCUCGAAAGCGUGGGGAGCGAACAGGAUUAGAUACCCUGGUAGUCCACGCCGUAAACGAUGAGUGCUAGGUGUUGGAUCCUUUCCGGGAUUCAGUGCCGCAGCUAACGCAUUAAGCACUCCGCCUGGGGAGUACGACCGCAAGGUUGAAACUCAAAGGAAUUGACGGGGGCCCGCACAAGCGGUGGAGCAUGUGGUUUAAUUCGAAGCAACGCGAAGAACCUUACCAGGUCUUGACAUCCCGAUGCUAUUUCUAGAGAUAGAAAGUUACUUCGGUACAUCGGUGACAGGUGGUGCAUGGUUGUCGUCAGCUCGUGUCGUGAGAUGUUGGGUUAAGUCCCGCAACGAGCGCAACCCCUAUUGUUAGUUGCCAUCAUUCAGUUGGGCACUCUAGCGAGACUGCCGGUAAUAAACCGGAGGAAGGUGGGGAUGACGUCAAAUCAUCAUGCCCCUUAUGACCUGGGCUACACACGUGCUACAAUGGUUGGUACAACGAGUUGCGAGUCGGUGACGGCAAGCUAAUCUCUUAAAGCCAAUCUCAGUUCGGAUUGUAGGCUGCAACUCGCCUACAUGAAGUCGGAAUCGCUAGUAAUCGCGGAUCAGCACGCCGCGGUGAAUACGUUCCCGGGCCUUGUACACACCGCCCGUCACACCACGAGAGUUUGUAACACCCGAAGUCGGUGAGGUAACCUUUUGGAGCCAGCCGCCUAAGGUGGGAUAGAUGAUUGGGGUG